AGAGUUUGAUCCUGGCUCAGGAUGAACGCUAGCGACAGGCCUAACACAUGCAAGUCGAGGGGCAGCAUUUUUGAAGCUUGCUUCAAAAGAUGGCGACCGGCGCACGGGUGAGUAACGCGUAUGGAACCAACCCGCAACAGGGGGAUAACCCGGAGAAAUCCGGACUAAUACCGCAUGGUACUCUUUGCACAGAAGUGUGAAGAUUUAAAGAUGCGAAUCGGUUGCGGACGGUCAUGCGUUCCAUUAGCUAGUUGGCGGGGUAACGGCCCACCAAGGCGACGAUGGAUAGGGGUUCUGAGAGGAAGGUCCCCCACACUGGUACUGAGACACGGACCAGACUCCUACGGGAGGCAGCAGUGAGGAAUAUUGGUCAAUGGGCGAGAGCCUGAACCAGCCAAGUCGCGUGAGGGAAGACGGCCCUAUGGGUUGUAAACCUCUUUUAGAUGGGAGUAAAGUGUUCUACGCGUAGGAUAUUGCAAGUACCAUCAGAAUAAGCAUCGGCUAAUUCCGUGCCAGCAGCCGCGGUAAUACGGAAGAUGCGAGCGUUAUCCGGAUUUAUUGGGUUUAAAGGGUGCGUAGGCGGGUGAUUAAGUCAGCGGUGAAAUGCGUCAGCUUAACUGGCGAACUGCCAUUGAAACUGGUUACCUUGAGUGUAGCGGAAGUAUGCGGAAUGCGUGGUGUAGCGGUGAAAUGCAUAGAUAUCACGCAGAACUCCGAUUGCGAAGGCAGCAUACCAUACUAUAACUGACGCUGAAGCACGAAAGCGUGGGUAUCGAACAGGAUUAGAUACCCUGGUAGUCCACGCAGUAAACGAUGAAUACUCACCGUUUGCGAUAUAAUGUAAGCGGUAAAGCGAAAGCGUUAAGUAUUCCACCUGGGGAG
This 882-nucleotide ribosomal RNA is filed under the name gut metagenome. RNAcentral describes it as "bacterial SSU rRNA". It matches the Rfam family "Bacterial small subunit ribosomal RNA", at positions 8 to 880 of the family's 1533-position model. The record is from RNAcentral.